This 253-nucleotide ribosomal RNA is filed under the name uncultured bacterium. Its description in RNAcentral is "partial 16S ribosomal RNA". It matches the Rfam family "Bacterial small subunit ribosomal RNA", at positions 524 to 776 of the family's 1533-position model. The record is from RNAcentral.
UACGUAGGCGGCAAGCGUUGUCCGGAAUUAUUGGGCGUAAAGCGCGCGCAGGCGGUCCUUUAAGUCUGAUGUGAAAGCCCACGGCUCAACCGUGGAGGGUCAUUGGAAACUGGGGGACUUGAGUGCAGAAGAGAAGAGUGGAAUUCCACGUGUAGCGGUGAAAUGCGUAGAGAUGUGGAGGAACACCAGUGGCGAAGGCGACUCUUUGGUCUGUAACUGACGCUGAGGCGCGAAAGCGUGGGGAGCAAACAGG